GGGUACACCCUGAACUGGUUGCCAGCCAAUGGCAGGGCACAUAGAAACAAACAACCAUUCGCACUCACAGUCAUGCCUACGGGCAAUUUAGCGUCUCCAAUGAAUGCAUGUUUUUUGGGAUGUGGGAGGAAACCGGAGUGCCCGGAGAAAACCCACGCAGGCACGGGGAGAACAUGCAAACUCCACACAGGCGGGGACGGGGAUUGAACCCCGCACCUCAGAACUGUGAGGCUGACGCUCUAACCAGUCGGCCACCGUGCCGCCUUACCGGUACUAUUUCAGUUAAAUUUUACAGUUAGAGAAUACGAAAGACUUCUCAAUCAGAUCACCCGAAAGAAGGAAGUGGGCGGGGCUUGGCCCGACUAAAUACCUGGCCAGAGGGGGAGCAGGUCGGAAUGUGGAGACACGAUGUUCUCGUCAAGCCAAGCAUUGCACAAGCCAAGAAUGCGGGGUGGUGACUUAAUCACGCCAUGGAGAAGGAAAGCUUUUUUUUGUCCAGUUCUUCCUCAUCUGACCUUUUUAGUAAUUAUUGCGUGAUGGACAAGGAUAGGCUUGGGACUUCUUCGCACACAAAGGAAUAGGAGUCACAAGGGGAUGCAGAGAGAAGGACAUUUGAUCAUAUCUCCUCAUUAUCUCAUCUGGAUGCUCAGAUAAUUCUGGAAUAGUUGCACGGCUGUUUUGCUGCUUCUCAAUUUAAUUCAAACUGAAGUCAUGUGGGCAUUUCUUAAAAAGAUAUCAGAUUUGGGCUGUUUCCCAACUACAUUUCAGGUUACAUAAUUUUAUAAGUUGUAUACUGCAGUUUUUUUUUUUUUUCCAAUUUCAUAUUUUAUUACAUAUCUUAUUCAAUUAUAUAUUUUAUUUAUUUAAGUCCGUAACCCCACUUUGAAUUGCCCUUGUUGUUAUUGCGCCGCCGGCACAGUGGACGACUGGUUAGCACAUCUGCCUCACAGUUCUGAGGACCGGGGUUCACACCCUGCGUGGGUUUUCUCCGGGCACUCCGGUUUCCUCCCACAUCCCAAAAACAUGCGUGCUCGGUCAAUUGAAGACUAAAUUGGCCGUAGGUGUGAAUGUGAGUAUGAAUGAAUGAAUCCAUUUUCUACACUGCUUAUCUUCACGAGGGUCGCGGGUAUGCUGGAGCCUAUCCAGCUAACUGCGGGCGAGAGGCGGGGUACACCCUGAGCUGGUCGCCAGCCAAUCGCAGGGCACAUAUAAACAAACAAUCAUUCACACUUACGGGCAAUUUUGAGUCUUCAAUUAACCAACUGUGCAUGUUUUUGGGAUGCGGGAGGUAACCGUAGUACCCGGAGAAAACUCACGCAGGCACAGGGAGAACAUGCAGACUGCACACAGGCGAGGCCGGAUUUAAACCAGGGUCGUCAGAAUUGUGAGGCAAAAUUUGGUAACCAGUCGUUCACCGUGCCGCCUCUGAAAGGCAAUAAUAAAGUUGACGAUUUUAUGAUAA
Phyllopteryx taeniolatus (common seadragon) is the source of this 1462-nucleotide long non-coding RNA. RefSeq lists it as uncharacterized. The transcript has 2 exons. The record is from RefSeq and is a predicted model, not a curated record. NCBI's taxonomy places the organism in Eukaryota, Metazoa, Chordata, Actinopteri, Syngnathiformes, Syngnathidae.